Molecule: long non-coding RNA, 2942 nt
Organism: Acinonyx jubatus (cheetah)
Lineage: Eukaryota; Metazoa; Chordata; Mammalia; Carnivora; Felidae
Exons: 2
Source: RefSeq, a predicted model, not a curated record
AACUUGAUUCCAUUUUAUUGAUUCAAUGAUGUUAUUGACUAGCAAAGAAUCCACCCUAAAUCACUCUUCUGUGCUCAUUGCAUCACUUUAUUUAUAACUAAAUGCUUCCUGAAGUAAAGUAGAAAACAACUACUUUGCUCUCCGUAUUUAUGCUUCUCAACAGAGAUCCCAUAGUAGACUUUCUUACAUUUGUGGUAAACUACUUUUAACCAUGCAUCAAGGCAAUAAAAAUAGUUUUCAUAUGAUUAUGCCUUUGGAAAUCUGGCACAAAAUGUGAUUUCACUUAGUGAGUGUGGUGUGACAGCUGUAAAUUGCCACAUUCCAGCUUAAUGCUUCAAUAUUGUAUUUUCAGUGUGGCUGAGUUGCUGGUUUUUUCUGGCUUUGAUUGCAUUUUCCACAGAGAAGCUGGCACUCAGACAAAUCCCCUGAGACACACUCACAAAGAGAUGCUGACAGAUCUCUGUCUCUCAGAGGUUCUAACUGGGCAGUGUUCCAUCCAGACAUGCUGGGCAUGAGCCUGGGUUAUCUGUGUCUGUUGGCCUAUGGGAGGGUCUUCUCAUUUUGUUUUGCCAACAGCCAAGAGAUAUAGAGAGCCCCUUGGGAUGGGAGUUCUGUCCUGGGGCCAACAUGCUCUGGUAGGAAGGCACUGGACCAGUUUAAUAGGGCAAAGAGUCUUAUUCAAAGAAGCCAGAAGUAUUUGAAGAAUCAAAUUUGUCCACCCAGUAUGUGGGUGGGUCAUUGACUAAGUGCUUAAUAAAUAAUUGGUAGAGUGUUCAGGCAUUCUCCUCAAUACUAGUGAUGUAUAGCUGAAUACCUAAUUCAAAGAACUCACCCUAACUUGUUUGGGGAAGUAGCCUGUAGUGGCCAACCCUUUUUUGGCUGCCCCUUCCCAACCCUAAGACUGCUUAUAACCCAUUCAAUGAAUUUUCAAGUAGUUAUUAUCAAGUACUUCUUAUGGGCCAGCGACUGUGGUCUGGCUAAGAUGUGCAGAAAUGAGCAAGACAGAUUUUUCUAGGAUUAGUAUUGUACACACCAAAAUGUUAUAAUGGUUAUCUUAAGGGGGUAGAAUUAGAUGGAGACAUGGUGAAGGACACUUAAUUUUUCAUUUUGAACUUUACUAUUUGAACUUUUUGUGACAAGCUGUUGGCCAUGAUACUUUUUUGUAUCUCGACAAAAAUCUUCCCUGGGUUCCUGGAUGGCUUAGUUGGUUAAGUGUUGGACUUCGGCUCAGGUCAUGAUCUCACAGUUCGUGAGUUCAAGCCCCAUAUUGGGCUUUGUACUGUCAGUGCUUCAGAUCCUCUGUUUCCCUCUCUCUCUGUCCCUCCUCCUCCUCCUCCUCUCUCUCUCUCUCUCUCUCCAAAAUAAAUAAACAUAUUUUAAAAAGUCUUCUGAGCAACUGUUUGUGCCACUCUUCUGAGCUUUGAGAACACAGCAAUGAAUGAAGCAGAAAAAGUGCCCUGUUCUCACAGAACUUCCAUUCCAACUGGAGAAGCACCACAAAACAAAACAAAAUAGUCCACACAAGUAUGCCAUAUAAUUAUGAUCAAUGACAUGUCCUAUGGAAAAAAUAAAUACUUUUUAAAACUAAAAGAGUUAUUCUGAUUUGUUCAGAUACUCUUGACUCUUUGGAGACCAGGAUUCUUCACUGGCCUGGGCAAAUAGCAUUGACGGAAGUGGGCCAGAGGGCCAACCCUCAAAGCCUUGAACCAUUUGGACUCAUUCUGCACUCUUUCCAGCCAGCAUAAAUGAAAAGGCAGUCUGAGCUGCCUACAUUCUUUGGGCAUAAGAGUGAUGUCAGUCCAGAGAGUCUGACCUGGCUAGUUGCUCUUGAUUGGAGCCCAGGCCUUUCCCCACCCAGUCUGGGGACAGAACUCACUGCUGUGCCAGUAUUUGAAGGUACUGACCCUGCCUACCCCACAUUCAUUGCCUGCUGCUUCUUUCCAACUUCACCAGCUGGUUUCCAGGGACCUGAUCCUGCUGGCUUUUGGCCUGCCCUGUCUGACAGCUGCCUGAACACUGGGACUUAAAAAUUAGUUCUAAAUGCCUGAGUCCAGCCACCACAUUCCAAUCUAUUUUUAGGACCAAUCCUCCUUCUUUGGCUCCCUGAGAAACCACUCUUCUUUUUCUGUUUCUUAAACUACUUCCAUUCCCAGUUCAGACUGAGGUCUCCUCACCUGGGAAUGCAAAGCUUAGGGUUUCCAGUUCCCGCUCACCAGCCAAGGAGAAGAUGCUGUUUUCACUCAAUUUCUCUAGUCUGAGAAGAGAUGCCCACCUUAUCCCACUUGAACUCCAACAGACACCUUGCACCAGGUUGCCCUACAUGGAGGCACUUUCACCCAGUUUUGCCUCUGACUUCUUGUGCCAUCAUUGCCUCCUGUGGGUACACUCUCUUCAUCCUCCUUUGGCAUUGAAAACCUGGUUUGAGCUGCUGCUUCUGAGGGAUACCCUUGUCACCUGGUGAGCAGAGAAGAGUUAAUAUAGCAGACCUGAGACUGCUCUCCAUAGAAGAGCCUGCUUGAAAGGUUGGCCUGUGGCUAGCGUCUGGUAACUUGGAUUUCAGGAAGGUUUCAGCAUUCCUGUGAGAAGGGUGGCUCACUGUGUCCCAACUGUUUGUAUAAAUAACAUGCUUUAUACUGAACAAACUGCUUUCCUUGUGGGUAUCUGGGAUUCUGGCUAGGCAUAGAGUGCCUAUAUGACCAACUUCCAACAAAAACUUUGGGUCCUGAGUCUCUAAUAGGCUUCCCUGGUAGACAACAUUUCAUACAUGUUGUCACAAUUUGUUGCUGGAGGAAUUAAGCAUGUUCUGUAUGACUCCACUGGGAGAGAGAACCCUCAGAAGCGUGUAUCUAGUGUCCUCUGGACUUUACCUCAUGUACCUUUCCUUUUGCUGAUUUUGGUUUGUAUCAUUUUGCUGUAAUAAAUCCUAGCCAUGAGUAUGACUA